Molecule: ribosomal RNA, 301 nt
Filed under: uncultured bacterium
Lineage: Bacteria
Description: partial 16S ribosomal RNA
Rfam family: Bacterial small subunit ribosomal RNA
Source: RNAcentral
CAGCCGCCACGGUAAUACGUAGGGUGCAAGCGUUAAUCGGAAUUACUGGGCGUAAAGCGUGCGCAGGCGGUUUGUUAAGACAGAUGUGAAAUCCCCGGGCUCAACCUGGGAACUGCAUUUGUGACUGGCAGGCUAGAGUAUGGCAGAGGGGGGUGGAAUUCCGCGUGUAGCAGUGAAAUGCGUAGAUAUGCGGAGGAACACCGAUGGCGAAGGCAGCCCCCUGGGCCAAUACUGACGCUCAUGCACGAAAGCGUGGGGAGCAAACAGGAUUAGAUACCCCCGUAGUCCCUGUCUCUUAUAA